RNA transcript from Ailuropoda melanoleuca (giant panda), 2574 nucleotides. It is a transcript of the gene named chromosome 3 C5orf58 homolog, with no coding region annotated. Lineage: Eukaryota; Metazoa; Chordata; Mammalia; Carnivora; Ursidae. The record is from RefSeq and is a predicted model, not a curated record. The transcript has 2 exons.
GAGAAAGUCUUUGAGUCAGCCCCAGAGGCGGUGCCAGAUUCCUCUUGGAAUCUAGCAAAGAUGGCUUGAAUCCCAGCUUCCCCACUGGCAAGAGACCAGUGUAUAUCUCUCUAUUCGUCUGUACUCUUUACUCAUCUAUAAAAAGUUAUAGGAAUGGUAAUAGCUAACAUUUAUUGGGCACAUAAUCUGCCAAGCUCCUUUGAUGCAUUAUCUCACUUAAACCUCAAAAGAACACUAGAAGGCAGUUAUUAUUAUCUUCACAUGAUAGAUGAGGACAUUUGAACUCUAAAUGGUUAAACUGUUUACCAGCACCUCUCUAGCUAAACAAAUGCUGGAGUAGGAUUCAAACCUGAGCAGUUUCAGUCCCGAGUCUGGCCUUAAUCACUGUGCUGCGAUCCUAUAUUGUGAAAAUUAAAUGCAGAUAAGGACAGGGAAGCACCUAGCGCAGUCCUGGCACACAGGAAGCAAAAAUGUCAGCGCCUUCUCCACCCUCCCUCACAGCCCUCAGGUCAGCGUUAGUCCCUCUCAGUUUAGCACCCAGCACCUUCUCCGCGGGUGGGGGGGGGGGGCCGGCCCUUGGCAGCUGGGACUACAACUCCCAGGAUGCAGCAGGCAGAGAAGCUGGCCAAUCAGGAUGCACAUUCCUGCUUUUCACAGUCGGCUACUCCCCACCUGCUGUCAGAGCUUUGGUGACGGUUGGCCAGGUGGGUCCUCACGGGUUGGUUUGUGGGCCACCCAAGGGCACUGGGUUUUAAAUAAUCCUAAUCCGGUUUUGGGGCAAGACGAAGGCUGUUGAAAUUUCCAGGUUGCCUCAGGCUCCAUCGUCAGCCUCCAAAUGGGCGGGCGCCCAAGGGCCCGGGGCUCCUCACAGGCAUAGGUGGGUUCCAGAAGGGGCCGAUGUUUGGGUGUGUCCAGGCGGGGCCGGUGGUCGUCUCAAGGCCGGGGUCACGCGGAGUGCGUUGUGCAUUGUCCUGAUCGGGUUUGGGAGCAGGAGGGCUGUGGAAACUUCGAGGCUAUCUUCAGUCACCACGUGGCGGUUGGGCGGGCCAGCGGCACCCUGGGGCUCUUGACUGGUGUAGGUUGGGAGGAGGAGGGGUUGGCCUUUAGAACAAAAGCUGCGGGGAUGAUCCUCUCCUCGGGAUGAGGGCCUGAACCGUGCCUCCCGGCCUCCCGGCUGGAGGUCAGUGCCUUAGCUGCGUUAGCGCCUUCUGUGUCCAGCAUCGCGGCCUUGGAGGAUUCCACUAUCCCCUCGGUCCCCAGAGCGUGCUCACCACUUCUCACCUCGGGCAUGCCCUCUGACCGGCCUCUUCCUUCUCUCUGAGCCAUGGCCUACCCGAGAUCUCCACGGAAGGCUUGACACACCACUGACCUUCUCCAGUCCAGUGGGGUCCAGCCCCAGCUCUGCCUUCCAACCCCACCCACCCAAGGGCACGCUCAAGGGCGCUGGAUAACCAGACCCGGAGUGGGAGGGUCGAUUUUCUUGGACAUUUCUCUAUCCACUUAGUUUCCCCUUCCCUCUUGGUUUUUUAAUAUUUUUUUUUACAACCAUUCCUCAUUUUUAAAGUUCUUUAAUUACACCUUCUCUACCCUCUUUAUUUUAUCAGCUUUUCUUUUCCCCCCUCAAAUCUUUUUAUUUGCUAUGCCCAACCAAGUAAGAUAGCUACCCUUCCCUUUUUGGCUUCUAGGGUAUUAUAGGUGGACGCAAAGUAUAUUUUAUUAAUUGGAAAACGAAAUUUUUAUACCUUUGUAGUGGCUCUAAAGUGAGUGAAGUAGGAUAAAUUCCUCUACUCAGGAGAAAGCAGAGGCAAGAAAUUGACUUAACGAUGUUUAAGAAUAAUGCUACUGACCAUAAGCUAAAUGUGGAAGCCAUAAUUAAAAACAUUAACAUAAUUUCUUUGGAGUUGAAGAAGAUGAAAGGUAAGCAUGGAAUCCCUGAAUUAAAAUGUUUGCAUGCCAUAGUUAAAAACAAACAAUAGAGCCAAAUUGUGCUUCUGCUGGGAUAUAACUGAAUUUGCCUACUAAUUAGGAUUUCUCUACUUCUUAAGCAGUGUUGGCACUGUAAUAUGAAUUAGAUCUCUAAAGAUGAAUUAUGUUUGAGAAUUUUCCUGGGAGUUAGUAGACUUGAAUUCCCAUCCCUGACACUAACAAGCUUAUGAUGUUGUUUAACUAACCUCUUUAAAUUUACUUUCCUUCCUUCCCUUCAAUAAACUAUUGCACGAUGAUGUCACAUUCUGCAAAAUUCAGUGUCUCUAUCCAUUAAUCUUUACCAAGCCCCUAAGGUUCCUUCCAAAUUAAAAUUAUGUUUGUUUGAUUCUGUGAGUUAAGGGUUCUUCAUUUUAAACAGAUUCAUAGAGUAGACCUUACCGUUCAUGAUGUUUAGUCAUUCACCUCACAGACAUUCUAUUAUUUUAUCUCAGACAUGUAACAUUUCCGUGAUUUAAUAUUUCUAAGGACAAUUUAUCCCUGACCAAACAUUUCCUCUGUUGGAGAACUCCCUAUCUCACCAGUCAGCCUCUUCCUUUUUAGCUGGUUCCUCCUUAUGGACUAGCUGAAAUCUAUUCCUGUCUUCCUUUC